UACAGAGGUCCCGAGCGUUGUUCGGAUUCAUUGGGCGUAAAGGGUGCGUAGGCGGCGCGGAAAGUUGGGUGUGAAAUCCCUCGGCUCAACCGAGGAACUGCGCCCAAAACUGCCGUGCUCGAGGAAGAUAGAGGUGAGCGGAACUUACGGUGGAGCGGUGAAAUGCGUUGAUAUCGUAAGGAACACCCGUGGCGAAAGCGGCUCACUGGGUCUUUUCUGACGCUGAUGCACGAAAGCUAGGGGAGCAAACGGG
Molecule: ribosomal RNA, 253 nt
Filed under: uncultured bacterium
Lineage: Bacteria
Description: partial 16S ribosomal RNA
Rfam family: Bacterial small subunit ribosomal RNA
Source: RNAcentral